ACACUCCACACAAAUCAAAUGAGUCUCUCCGUCACCAUGUUGCUUCUUCUCUCCGUCGCACCAGCUUCUUCCGCCACUGUCGCCGCCGCUCGCGUCGCAGGAUCUCUCUCUGUCAUCCCUUGCGCCGCACGGGCUCCCUCUGCCACCGCUCUCGUCGCGUCUGCAGCGAUUUGUGAAACUCAUCUCAACUUGGUGGAAACUCGGUGGUUAUUGUUGAAUGGCGAAGCUUGAAGCGAAGCUCGGAAUGAUAGUUGACUCCGUUGGUAACUUCUUCUCCGGCAAAGACCAGCUUCUCCACUAACCGAAUCAAAUCGAAUCAAACACUUUAUAUAUAGGAUUGCAUAGAUCUUCAAUCUUUUGAUCUAUUCGCACUCCACUAACCAGGUUGGAAUUGAAAUGCAGAGAAAAGCUGCAUUGCCGUUGAGGGACGCAAAAAGCGGCAAUGCGAACAAGAUGAAGGCUCUGUGCGGCAAGGAAGCUUUGGUGAAGCUUCUGCGAUGGCAUUUUGGUGAAG
This is a non-coding RNA of Arachis ipaensis, 514 nucleotides long. The record is from RefSeq and is a predicted model, not a curated record. NCBI's taxonomy places the organism in Eukaryota, Viridiplantae, Streptophyta, Magnoliopsida, Fabales, Fabaceae.